Molecule: small nuclear RNA, 103 nt
Organism: Suricata suricatta (meerkat)
Lineage: Eukaryota; Metazoa; Chordata; Mammalia; Carnivora; Herpestidae
Source: Ensembl
AUGCUCGCUUCAGUGGCACGUAUACUAAAAUUGGAAGGUUACAGAGGAUGCGCAUGUCCCCUGUGCAAGAAUGAGUCAUAUUUGUGAAGCGUUCCAUAUUUGA